AUUGAACGCUGGCGGCAGGCCUAACACAUGCAAGUCGAACGGUAACAGGAAGAAGCUUGCUUCUUUGCUGACGAGUGGCGGACGGGUGAGUAAUGUCUGGGAAACUGCCUGAUGGAGGGGGAUAACUACUGGAAACGGUAGCUAAUACCUCAUAACUUCGCAAGACCAAAGAGGGGGACCUUCGUGCCUCUUGCCAUCGGAUGUGCCCAGAUGGGAUUAGCUAGUAGGUGGGGUAACGGCUCACCUAGGCGACGAUCCCUAGCUGGUCUGAGAGGAUGACCAGCCACACUGGAACUGAGACACGGUCCAGACUCCUACGGGAGGCAGCAGUGGGGAAUAUUGCACAAUGGGCGCAAGCCUGAUGCAGCCAUGCCGAGUGUAUGAAGAAGGCCUUCGGGUUGUAAAGUACUUUCAGCGGGGAGGAAGGGAGUAAAGUUAAUACCUUUGCUCAUUGACGUUACCCGCAGAAGAAGCACCGGCUAACUACGUG
This 490-nucleotide ribosomal RNA is filed under the name uncultured bacterium. RNAcentral describes it as "partial 16S ribosomal RNA". It matches the Rfam family "Bacterial small subunit ribosomal RNA", at positions 30 to 507 of the family's 1533-position model. The record is from RNAcentral.